Molecule: ribosomal RNA, 429 nt
Filed under: Chloroflexota bacterium
Lineage: Bacteria; Bacillati; Chloroflexota
Description: Chloroflexi bacterium partial 16S ribosomal RNA
Rfam family: Bacterial small subunit ribosomal RNA
Source: RNAcentral
UGGGGAAUAUUGCACAAUGGGCGCAAGCCUGAUGCAGCCAUGCCGCGUGUAUGAAGAAGGCCUUCGGGUUGUAAAGUACUUUCAGUCGGGAGGAAGGUGGUAAGGUUAAUAACCUUGGCAAUUGACGUUACCGACAGAAGAAGCACCGGCUAACUCCGUGCCAGCAGCCGCGGCAAUACGGAGGGUGCAAGCGUUAAUCGGAAUUACUGGGCGUAAAGCGCACGCAGGCGGUUGAUUGAGUCAGAUGUGAAAUCCCCGGGCUUAACCCGGGAAUUGCAUCUGAUACUGGUCAGCUAGAGUCUUGUAGAGGGGGGUAGAAUUCCAUGUGUAGCGGUGAAAUGCGUAGAGAUGUGGAGGAAUACCGGUGGCGAAGGCGGCCCCCUGGACAAAGACUGACGCUCAGGUGCGAAAGCGUGGGGAGCAAACAGG